This is a long non-coding RNA of Thunnus maccoyii (southern bluefin tuna), 518 nucleotides long. RefSeq lists it as uncharacterized. The transcript is spliced from 2 exons. NCBI's taxonomy places the organism in Eukaryota, Metazoa, Chordata, Actinopteri, Scombriformes, Scombridae. The record is from RefSeq and is a predicted model, not a curated record.
UAUUGGUCUCUGUUGUUCACUACCAGCAGAUCAACUACAGAAAUGGCACACAACAUCGGAGCCCCUUGCCAGGAGAGCAACAUGCUGUUCCUCAGAACCAAGCAGUCUCAAUCUCUAAAUUCAGACCAUCUAGGUAAACAAAAACCACGACUGCUUUCUGACUAGAACUCUUCACUUACUGGACCACUCAUGAAGACUGGAUGACACCAAACUCAUUGUGGAGAUAGAAAAACAAAAAGAGCUCUAUGGCCCACAGAGUAAAUAUUAUAAAGAUAUUAGAGAAGAAAACACAUGGGGAUAAGUUGCCUCUGCUGUUGAUGGUAAGUUUUUAUAUAUAAUUAUUUGGGAUGCAUGACAUGUCCCAGAUAAGUAACUUAUCUAAUGUUUCAGCAAAGAGAUUGUUUGUUCUGUUUUACUGUGUAUCUAGGCUAUACAUAGUUUUAUUUCUGACUGUAGCUUAGAAAUAGUUAUUUCCAUAGUUCGACAUUUUAUGAAUAAAUGGAAACAGUGAGAGAUUA